Dermacentor albipictus is the source of this 399-nucleotide non-coding RNA. Lineage: Eukaryota; Metazoa; Arthropoda; Arachnida; Ixodida; Ixodidae. The record is from RefSeq and is a predicted model, not a curated record.
UACAGUCUCAGACGACGUGGCAGAAUUUAUUGCUCAAGUGAUGACUGAUAUCCUCAAUGCGUCUCACGUGGAGGUAUUAGUGGGCUCAGAAGCUGACAAUGGACCCGUGAUAGUCACCCAGAGACUGCACCUUGCUUCUAAAAGCGUCGUCACAACUAGAAUUCGGUCAAACGCUUCUGCUUCAGCUUUUCUAGAGCAUGUGUUCGCCAAAUUCUCUACAAGCACCAAGGUCUACGUGAUUUGUCUCCUUCCGCAAAAGUAUUACCUCAAGCACAUCUUCCCCCUGAUGGAGUCUGUGUGGACUCACUUGGUUUACUCGUACUGGAUUGUGUUGGGCCGCGGAAAAAUGUUCGCCAGACUCAUACUGCAGCAAAGCCCCUGUACGUUUUACUUUCUGAC